RNAcentral lists this ribosomal RNA (253 nucleotides) under uncultured bacterium. Its description in RNAcentral is "partial 16S ribosomal RNA". It matches the Rfam family "Bacterial small subunit ribosomal RNA", at positions 524 to 776 of the family's 1533-position model. The record is from RNAcentral.
UACGUAGGGGGCGAGCGUUGUCCGGAGUUACUGGGCGUAAAGGGCGUGCAGGCGGUGCAGUAAGUUUGGAGUGACAGUACCCGGCUCAACUGGGUAAGGCCUUCGAAAACUGCUGGACUUGAGGGCCAGAGAGGGACAUAGAAUUCCGGGUGGAGUGGUGAAAUGCGUAGAUAUCAAGCAGAACACCUGCGGCGAAGGCGGCCUUCUGGACGAUGACUGACGCUGAGACACGAAAGCGUGGGGAGCAAACAGG